RNAcentral lists this ribosomal RNA (468 nucleotides) under uncultured bacterium. Its description in RNAcentral is "partial 16S ribosomal RNA". It matches the Rfam family "Bacterial small subunit ribosomal RNA", at positions 28 to 507 of the family's 1533-position model. The record is from RNAcentral.
GACGAACGCCGGCGGCGUGCUUAACACAUGCAAGUCGAACGGAAAGGCCCUGCUUUUGUGGGGUGCUCGAGUGGCGAACGGGUGAGUAACACGUGAGUAACCUGCCCUUGACUUUGGGAUAACUUCAGGAAACUGGGGCUAAUACCGGAUAGGAGCUCCUGCUGCAUGGUGGGGGUUGGAAAGUUUCGGCGGUUGGGGAUGGACUCGCGGCUUAUCAGCUUGUUGGUGGGGUAGUGGCUUACCAAGGCUUUGACGGGUAGCCGGCCUGAGAGGGUGACCGGCGACAUUGGGACUGAGAGACGGCCCAGACUCCUACGGGAGGCAGCAGUGGGGAAUAUUGCACAAUGGGCGGAAGCCUGAUGCAGCAACGCCGCGUGCGGGAUGACGGCCUUCGGGUUGUAAACCGCUUUCGCCUGUGACGAAGCGUGAGUGACGGUAAUGGGUAAAGAAGCACCGGCUAACUACGUG